This 293-nucleotide ribosomal RNA is filed under the name uncultured bacterium. RNAcentral describes it as "partial 16S ribosomal RNA". It matches the Rfam family "Archaeal small subunit ribosomal RNA", at positions 455 to 747 of the family's 1478-position model. The record is from RNAcentral.
GUGCCAGCCGCCGCGGUAAUACCGGCAGCCCGAGUGAUGGCCGAUCUUAUUGGGCCUAAAGCGUCCGUAGCUGGCUGCGCAAGUCCGUCGGGAAAUCCACUCGCCCAACGAGUGGGCGUCCGACGGAAACUGCACAGCUUGGGACCGGAAGGCUCGAAGGGUACGUUCGGGGUAGGAGUGAAAUCCCGUAAUCCUGGACGGACCGCCGAUGGCGAAAGCACGUCGCGAAGACGGAUCCGACAGUGAGGGACGAAAGCUAGGGUCUCGAACCGGAUUAGAUACCCGAGUAGUCC